GAUGAACGCUGGCGGCGUGCCUAAUACAUGCAAGUCGAGCGAACAGACGAUGAGCUUUCUCCUCUGACGUUAGCGGCUGACGGGUGAGUGACACGUGGAUAACCUACCUAUAAUACUGGGAUAACUUCGGGAAACCGGAGCUAAUACCGGAUAACAUGUUGAACCGCAUGGUUCAACAGUGAAAGACGGUCUUGCUGUCACUUAUAGAUGGAUCCGCGCCGCAUUAGCUAGUUGGUAAGGUAACGGCUUACCAAGGCAACGAUGCGUAGCCGACCUGAGAGGGUGAUCGGCCACACUGGAACUGAGACACGGUCCAGACUCCUACGGGAGGCAGCAGUAGGGAAUCUUCCGCAAUGGGCGCAAGCCUGACGGAGCAACGCCGCGUGAGUGAAGAAGGUCUUCGGAUCGUAAAACUCUGUUAUUAGGGAAGAAAAAAUGUGUAAGUAACUAUGCACGUCUUGACGGUACCUAAUCAGAAAGCCACGGCUAACUACGUG
Molecule: ribosomal RNA, 497 nt
Filed under: uncultured bacterium
Lineage: Bacteria
Description: partial 16S ribosomal RNA
Rfam family: Bacterial small subunit ribosomal RNA
Source: RNAcentral